UGUACUACUCAGAGUUUGAUCAGUGCUCAGAGCGAACGUUGGCGGCGUGCCUAACACAUGCAAGUCGAACGUGAACGGCUUCGGCCUAGUAAAGUGGCGUACGGGUGAGUAACGCGUAGGUAAUCUACCCCAGAGUUCGGAAUAACCGACCGAAAGGUUGGCUAAUACUGGAUAGAGCGACGGAAUCCGUAAUCGGAUUUUUCGGGAAAGGGAGGCAGCAAUGCCCCUCGCUUUGGGAUGAGCCUGCGUCUCAUUAGCUAGUUGGUAAGGUAAUGGCUUACCAAGGCUUUGAUGGGUAGCUGGUCUGAGAGGAUGAUCAGCCACACUGGAACUGAAACACGGUCCAGACUCCUACGGGAGGCAGCAGUGGGGAAUCUUGCGCAAUGGACGAAAGUCUGACGCAGCCACGCCGCGUGAGUGAAGAAGGCCUUCGGGUUGUAAAAGCUCUGUCGGGCGGGACGAACAUCUUAACAGUUAAGAGCUGGUAAGACUGACGGUACCGCCAAAGGAAGCACCGGCUAACUUCGUGGCCAGGCCGGCCGCGGUAAU
This 549-nucleotide ribosomal RNA is filed under the name uncultured bacterium. RNAcentral's name for it is "bacterial SSU rRNA". It matches the Rfam family "Bacterial small subunit ribosomal RNA", at positions 1 to 524 of the family's 1533-position model. The record is from RNAcentral.